This 93-nucleotide transfer RNA is filed under the name Gasterosteus aculeatus (three-spined stickleback). It matches the Rfam family "tRNA". Rfam says of the family: Transfer RNA (tRNA) molecules are approximately 80 nucleotides in length. The record is from Rfam by way of RNAcentral. Lineage: Eukaryota; Metazoa; Chordata; Actinopteri; Perciformes; Gasterosteidae.
GGCUCCGUGGCGCAAUGGAUAGCGCAUUGGACUUCUAGUCAAGCUCUGUGAGGAGAGAUUCAAAGGUUGUGGGUUCGAGUCCCACCGGAGUCG